ACUUACAUUUCCUUCAUUCCUUCUUCCAAAAUGGAAAUAAAAUCGAUAAAAUCAUCUUUGAAUCUAAUUAUGUUAGGUUAAGUUAAAGCUGAAAUUAUAAAAAUAAACAUAAAAGUCAGGUGUGUUCGGAAUCCAAACUUACUUUUAAGCUUAUCUACCGGAUAACUAACUGGAACAUAAAUUGACGUGAAAAGACGGGUACAUUUUAUCUGGCGAAUAAAUAUUUAUCCUCCAGAUAGCUAACUGCCAGAUAAGAGCAUAUUUAUUCGGAGGUGAAAAGACCGGGCCUAAGUAUGGUUAUAGACACCUGUUAAUAGUCUGAAAAUUUAUUUAUACCUUAAAUUUUUUGGUAUAUUUUGAAAAAGAAGCCACAUCUCGAUAAAAGUUGAUUUAUCAAAAAAAGACUAAGGCCCGGUCUUUUCACCUCUGAAUAAAUAUGCUCUUAUCUGGCAGUUAGCUAUCUGGAGGAUAAAUAUUUAUUCGCCAGAUAAAAUGUACACGUCUUUUCACGUCAAUUUAUGUUCCAGUUAGUUAUCCGGUAGAUAAGCUUAAAAGUAAGUUUGGAUUCCGAACACACCUGACUUUUAUGUUUAUUUUUAUAAUUUCAGCUUUAACUUAACCUAACAUAAUUAGAUUCAAAGAUGAUUUUAUCGAUUUUAUUUCCAUUUUGGAAGAAGGAAUGAAGGAAAUAAAGAAAACAUUGAUUAUGCUGAAAUAGUUUACUGGAGAGCUUGAACAAGAGGUAAAUCCAUUUUAAAUUAGAGGAAAACUGUUGAUUUGUAUGUAAAAUAGAAGACAAAGACAAGUUUAAAUAAAGACAAGCUAGCUAAUGAAACAGAUGCAGUGAUAUGACAAACACCUAGAAGAUGGAAUCCUGUGUUCUCAAAGAAAAAGCUAGUUCCAGAAAUAAGCUACCAAUAAUAAACUAGAGAAUGUAUUACAAGAAAGAACAACGCUAAUACUCAACAUAGCUCAAUUGCUUCAGAUAGAAAAAGAGGAGGAAAGGGUAGAACACAAGCGUGCCAGAGAAAAUUAAAGGGCAGAAGAGACACAAAAAUUCAUUGAUUUAUAUAAAUGAAA
Diabrotica virgifera virgifera (western corn rootworm) is the source of this 1080-nucleotide long non-coding RNA. RefSeq lists it as uncharacterized. The transcript is spliced from 3 exons. The record is from RefSeq and is a predicted model, not a curated record. Lineage: Eukaryota; Metazoa; Arthropoda; Insecta; Coleoptera; Chrysomelidae.